RNAcentral lists this ribosomal RNA (639 nucleotides) under Salmonella enterica subsp. enterica serovar Abortusequi. Its description in RNAcentral is "partial 23S ribosomal RNA". It matches the Rfam family "Bacterial large subunit ribosomal RNA", at positions 1243 to 1865 of the family's 2925-position model. Lineage: Bacteria; Pseudomonadati; Pseudomonadota; Gammaproteobacteria; Enterobacterales; Enterobacteriaceae. RNAcentral also lists the same sequence under 1 other name. The record is from RNAcentral.
UAAGCCUGUGAAGGUGUGUCGUGAGGCAUGCUGGAGGUAUCAGAAGUGCGAAUGCUGACAUAAGUAACGAUAAAGCGGGUGAAAAGCCCGCUCGCCGGAAGACCAAGGGUUCCUGUCCAACGUUAAUCGGGGCAGGGUGAGUCGACCCCUAAGGCGAGGCCGAAAGGCGUAGUCGAUGGGAAACGGGUUAAUAUUCCCGUACUUGGUGUUACUGCGAAGGGGGGACGGAGAAGGCUAUGUUGGCCGGGCGACGGUUGUCCCGGUUUAAGCGUGUAGGUGUGUGUUCCAGGUAAAUCCGGUUCACUUUAACACUGAGGCGUGACGACGAGGCACUACGGUGCUGAAGCAACAAAUGCCCUGCUUCCAGGAAAAGCCUCUAAGCAUCAGGUAACAUCAAAUCGUACCCCAAACCGACACAGGUGGUCAGGUAGAGAAUACCAAGGCGCUUGAGAGAACUCGGGUGAAGGAACUAGGCAAAAUGGUGCCGUAACUUCGGGAGAAGGCACGCUGACACGUAGGUGAAGUGAUUUACUCACGGAGCUGAAGUCAGUCGAAGAUACCAGCUGGCUGCAACUGUUUAUUAAAAACACAGCACUGUGCAAACACGAAAGUGGACGUAUACGGUGUGACGCCUGCCCG